RNAcentral lists this ribosomal RNA (495 nucleotides) under uncultured delta proteobacterium. RNAcentral describes it as "bacterial SSU rRNA". It matches the Rfam family "Bacterial small subunit ribosomal RNA", at positions 28 to 523 of the family's 1533-position model. Lineage: Bacteria; Deltaproteobacteria. The record is from RNAcentral.
AACGAACGCUGGCGGCGUGCCUAACACAUGCAAGUCGAGCGCUCCAUGGGCUUUCGGUUUCAUGGGGAGCGGCAGACGGGUGAGUAACACGUGGGUAACCUGCCCCUGAGUCGGGGGAUAACUACUCGAAAGGGUGGCUAAUACCGCAUAAGACCCCGAGUUUUCGGAUUUGAGGUCAAAGGCGCAAGCCGCUUGGGGAGGGGCCCGCGUCCGAUUAGCUAGUUGGUGAGGUAACGGCCCACCAAGGCGACGAUCGGUAGCUGGUCUGAGAGGAUGACCAGCCACACUGGUACUGAGACACGGACCAGACUCCUACGGGAGGCAGCAGUGGGAAUAUUGCGCAAUGGGCGAAAGCCUGACGCAGCAACGCCGCGUGGGUGAUGAAGGCCUUCGGGUCGUAAAGCCCUGUCAGAGGGGAAGAAACCUCUCCGUGAGGGGAGCUGACGGUACCCUCGGAGGAAGCACCGGCUAACUCCGUGCCAGCAGCCGCGGUAA